CCUACGGGAGGCAGCAGUGGGGAAUAUUGCACAAUGGGCGAAAGCCUGAUGCAGCAACGCCGCGUGAGCGAUGAAGGCCUUCGGGUCGUAAAGCUCUGUCCUCAAGGAAGAUAAUGACGGUACUUGAGGAGGAAGCCCCGGCUAACUACGUGCCAGCAGCCGCGGUAAUACGUAGGGGGCUAGCGUUAUCCGGAAUUACUGGUCGUAAAGGGGUCGUAGGUGGUUUCUUAAGUCAGAGGUGAAAGGAUACGGCUCAACCGUAGUAAGCCUUUGAAACUGGGGAACUUGAGUGCAGGAGAGGAGAGUGGAAUUCCUGGUGUAGCGGUGAAAUGCGUAGAGAUUAGGAGGAACACCAGUUGCGAAGGCGGCUCUCUGGACUGUAACUGACACUGAGGCACGAAAGCGUGGGGAGCAAACAGGAUUAGAUACCCGAGUAGUC
RNAcentral lists this ribosomal RNA (439 nucleotides) under uncultured bacterium. RNAcentral's name for it is "partial 16S ribosomal RNA". It matches the Rfam family "Bacterial small subunit ribosomal RNA", at positions 338 to 795 of the family's 1533-position model. The record is from RNAcentral.